RNAcentral lists this ribosomal RNA (406 nucleotides) under uncultured bacterium. Its description in RNAcentral is "partial 16S ribosomal RNA". It matches the Rfam family "Bacterial small subunit ribosomal RNA", at positions 30 to 526 of the family's 1533-position model. The record is from RNAcentral.
AUUGAACGCUGGCGGCAGGCCUAACACCUGCAAGUCGAGCGAGCGGCGGACGGGUGAGUAAUGUCUGGGAAACUGCCUGAUGGAGGGGGAUAACUACUGGAAACGGUAGCUAAUACCGCAUACCAUCAGAUGUGCCCAGAUGGGAUUAGCUAGUAGGUGGGGUAAUGGCUCACCUAGGCAACGAUCCCUAGCUGGUCUGAGAGGAUGAACAGACACACGGGAACUGAGACACGGUCCAGACUCUUACGGGAGGCAGCAGUGGGGAAUAUUGCACAAUGGGCGAAAGCCUGAUGCAGCCAUGCCGCGUGUGUGAAGAAGGCCUUCGGGUUGUAAAGCACUUUCAGCGAGGAGGCGUUACUCGCAGAAGAAGCACCGGCUAACUCCGUGCCAGCAGCCGCGGUAAUAC